AUUGAACGCUGGCGGCAGGCCUAACACAUGCAAGUCGAGCGGAUGAAGGGAGCUUGCUCCUGGAUUCAGCGGCGGACGGGUGAGUAAUGCCUAGGAAUCUGCUUGGUAGUGGGGGAUAACGUCCGGAAACGGGCGCUAAUACCGCAUACGACCUGAGGGAGAAAGUGGGGGAUCUUCGGACCUCACGCUAUCAGAUGAGCCUAGGUCGGAUUAGCUAGUUGGUGGGGUAAAGGCCUACCAAGGCGACGAUCCGUAACUGGUCUGAGAGGAUGAUCAGUCACACUAGAACUUGGACGCGGUCCAGACUCCUACGGGAGGCAGCAGUGGGGAAUAUUGGACAAUGGGCGAAAACCUGAUCCAGCCAUGCCGCGUGUGUGAAGAAGGUCUUCGGAUUGUAAAGCACUUUAAGUUGGGAGGAAGGGCAGUAAGUUAAUACCUUGCUGGUUUGACGUUACCAACAGAAUAAGCACCGGCUAACUUCGUG
RNAcentral lists this ribosomal RNA (484 nucleotides) under uncultured bacterium. Its description in RNAcentral is "partial 16S ribosomal RNA". It matches the Rfam family "Bacterial small subunit ribosomal RNA", at positions 30 to 507 of the family's 1533-position model. The record is from RNAcentral.